RNAcentral lists this ribosomal RNA (429 nucleotides) under Pseudomonadota bacterium. Its description in RNAcentral is "Proteobacteria bacterium partial 16S ribosomal RNA". It matches the Rfam family "Bacterial small subunit ribosomal RNA", at positions 355 to 776 of the family's 1533-position model. The record is from RNAcentral. Lineage: Bacteria; Pseudomonadati; Pseudomonadota.
UGGGGAAUAUUGGACAAUGGGCGAAAGCCUGAUCCAGCCAUGCCGCGUGUGUGAAGAAGGUCUUCGGAUUGUAAAGCACUUUAAGUUGGGAGGAAGGGCAGUAAGCGAAUACCUUGCUGUUUUGACGUUACCGACAGAAUAAGCACCGGCUAACUCUGUGCCAGCAGCCGCGGUAAUACAGAGGGUGCAAGCGUUAACCGGAAUUACUGGGCGUAAAGCGCGCGUAGGUGGUUCGUUAAGUUGAAUGUGAAAGCCCCGGGCUCAACCUGGGAACUGCAUCCAAAACUGGCGGGCUAGAGUAAGGCAGAGGGUGGUGGAAUUUCCUGUGUAGCGGUGAAAUGCGUAGAUAUAGGAAGGAACACCAGUGGCGAAGGCGACCACCUGGGCUCAUACUGACACUGAGGUGCGAAAGCGUGGGGAGCAAACAGG